AGGAUUCCCCUAGUAACUGCGAGUGAAGCGGGAAAAGCUCAAAUUUAAAAUCUGGCAGCCUUUGGCUGUCCGAGUUGUAAUUUAGAGAAGCACUGCCUGCGCUGGACUGUGUACAAGUCUCCUGGAAUGGAGCGUCAUAGAGGGUGAGAAUCCCGUAUAUGACACAGUUGCCAGGGCUUAGUGGCCUGCUCUCCAAGAGUCGAGUUGUUUGGGAAUGCAGCUCAAAAUGGGUGGUAAAUUCCAUCUAAAGCUAAAUACAGGCGAGAAACCGAUAGCGAACAAGUACCGUGAGGGAAAGAUGAAAAGAACUUUGGAAAGAGAGUUAAACAGUACGUGAAAUUGUUGAAAGGGAAACGCUUGAAGUCAGUCGCAUUGCUGGAAAUCACACUUGCUUUUUUCAUUGCUUGUGGCUCUUUCCUAGUAAUGGGUCAGCAUCAGUUUUGAUUGUUGGACAAGGGUCAGAGGAAUGUGGCAUCCUUGGAUGUGUUAUAGCCUCUGAUCAUAUGCAAUGAUGGAGACUGAGGAACUCGGCACUUUUGUGCUUAGGAUGCUGGCAUAAUGGCUUUAAUCGACCCGUCUUGAAACACGGACCA
RNAcentral lists this ribosomal RNA (593 nucleotides) under Tricholomopsis sp. RNAcentral describes it as "partial large subunit ribosomal RNA". It matches the Rfam family "Eukaryotic large subunit ribosomal RNA", at positions 71 to 668 of the family's 3401-position model. The record is from RNAcentral. Lineage: Eukaryota; Fungi; Basidiomycota; Agaricomycetes; Agaricales.